AUUGAACGCUGGCGGCAGGCCUAACACAUGCAAGUCGAACGGUAAGAGGAAACAGCUUGCUGUUUCGCUGACGAGUGGCGGACGGGUGAGUAAUGUCUGGGAAACUGCCUGAUGGAGGGGGAUAACUACUGGAAACGGUAGCUAAUACCGCAUAACGUCGCAAGACCAAAGAGGGGGACCCUCGGGCCUCUUGCCAUCGUAUGUGCCCAGAUGGGAUUAGCUUGUUGGUGGGGUAACGGCUCACCAAGGCGACGAUCCCUAGCUGGUCUGAGAGGAUGACCAGCCACACUGGAACUGAGACACGGUCCAGACUCCUACGGGAGGCAGCAGUGGGGAAUAUUGCACAAUGGGCGCAAGCCUGAUGCAGCCAUGCCGCGUGUAUGAAGAAGGCCUUCGGGUUGUAAAGUACUUUCAGCGGGGAGGAAGGGAGUAAAGUUAAUACCUUUGCUCAUUGACGUUACCCGCAGAAGAAGCACCGGCUAACUCCGUG
Molecule: ribosomal RNA, 490 nt
Filed under: uncultured bacterium
Lineage: Bacteria
Description: partial 16S ribosomal RNA
Rfam family: Bacterial small subunit ribosomal RNA
Source: RNAcentral